UAUGAAAUCGAAAAGAUGCGAGAAAUAAUAUUAUAAAUGUAAUAUUAUAGACGAACGAAACGAGCACGGAGCCAACGUAAAAUAUAAACACGGAGCUAAAGCGAAAUGUAAACACGUUUACUUCCACUUAAUUGAUUCGUGGGAAAGUCAAGUCGACAAUAUUCGUAACCUUCAGAGUUCAGUUACUGUUUGGAUACCGAAGGAGAACGACGUACGCAGUAACUUCUAACGCGUAUAACGAAUCGAACCCAGCUUAACAAUCUUCGAUUUCGUCCAAUACACGAAUAUAAUAUAUCUCUCUUUCUCCUCCUACAUUCCAUCACAAGCAUCCUUCUUCCUCAUCCUGCACACGAACGACAAAAUCCCCAAACCCCUUCGUCUUCAUUUACCAAUGGACCAACAUUGAUCCUCGUUCUUCUUAUUGUCGCGUGACGGUGCUAACUUAAACGAAGCAAAGGAUGGCGCAGCCUUCUUUAUUUAUCGAACGUAGUCGUGAAAAAGUUGGAGGAGAGAGGCUCGACCCCAGUUUGGAGGAGCGAGCAAACAUCAAGUUCCAGUUAAUUUCGGUUGGGAACAGGACCGAUUACUUUCAAUUGGAAAUGAAUUUAUAGGUGCGGCUUUAUUCUUCUCUCCUCGUUACCAACAAGAAUGAUGGAUCAAGAUAUCAUGCUGGUUUAAAUCAAAGAAUCAGAAAAGACAUUUGAAGACUUGGAAUAAAAUAUCAAUAAUCUCAUUACAAACAAUAUAUGUAAAUUUAAAAGCUCCAAGCUUCAUCAUAAUUAAUCAAUCAUUUCACUUAUUUUAUAAUCACAUUUUCCUCGAAAAAAAGGUAGAUGAAACGGUGAGGUUCCUCUUUUCGAGCGAUAAAAUCCGGCUGGAAAAACGAGCAAUGGAACGAGGACGGAGAAAUAAAAAUAAAAAAAAAAAAAAAAAGGUACAUCUAUACGGUUCGAGUCACAGGAAAAAGGUGCAUUAAUCUGGCCGUGGCGUGAAUCCGUAACAAAUGGCGCGUAUCGUUUGUUGGCUCCGAUCACAUUACUACACCGAGGGGAGGGGAGGAGGGGGGGGUGGUGGCCUGUUCCACCGGUAAUUAACAGGUAAUUAUUUAUAAUGGAACAAUGGAAUUUAAAUUAAUAGUUUAGUUUCAUUAAUAACACCGCGUAAUUUCGCCCCUCCACCAGCGGCCGUGGUGUCAGUGUUAAAUAAAAUAUAUGCACCGGUGUGAACCCGACGCCGCAUUACCGGCGUCCCGGGUAAUGCGCGUGCCGCUGCACCGUGCGAAACACCGACGUACGGGCCGGCGUACACCUCUGCCCAUCGUUCGUGCUGCACCCUCUCGAACGCCGGCCGACACCGAACUCCCCCCCACUCCACUCCAUCCCACCCCACCCCGCCUCCGCCCCGGCUGACGCAUACGCCCUGGCCGGGAUAUAACCACUCUACGUCACGUCUGUUAUAAACGCGUAAACACGUGCUGGUGUACCCGUGGAACCAGGUUGUCCACUAUCAAGUAAAUAAUGGCGCAUUAAGCUUUUUCAUUCGUAUUCAGAUAUGUGCGGUUCAGUUUCCGCCCGUGCGAAUACCGUGCGCCUGCCCCGCCACGUGUGCGUUCCUGCACGUGGAAUCGCGCCCCCUCUCUCUCUCUCUCUCAACCCCCUCGCAAUUGCGCGCCAGCAGGUUGUUGAAGGUGGCACCUGGAGAGAGAGAGAGGUUUGAGAGGGGCAUUUGAAGAUCCGUCGCGUGGGACUCGCGAAAUUUUAAUUUAGUUAUUCUGUGAUAUUGUUGAUACGAUUAGUUUGUGUAUGAUUUUUAAUGGAAUUAUUUUUCGAAAUUGUCAUAUUCAGUAUGACAUUAUUAACAAAAAGUAUCUUUCUCGAGAUCGAAAAUCGCGAGUAAAGAAAGUACGAGGUGGGUAUCCGCGCAAGUUAAUUACGCGUGAGUGAAUUCAUGGACGAGGGGAUAAAUCGAAAAAUGGUGUUCCGGCUGCGAGUCAAUCCGCGCAGAGGCGUAUCGGUCGGUAUACGGCUCCAUUUGGUUAAUUCAUUCGCAUAUUAGAGCUCUAUAUCACGAGAGGAGUCCUCGCCGUGGCAGCCGCGAGACCACGCUUGCUCGGCCAAGAUGUCUGCUGCUCGCCCCUUCCCUGUGUGUGUGUGUGUGUAUAGCGUGCACACACGACGAGCCUUCUUGGCCAACGCGCAUACCUCGGCUCACCUUCCACUACGUGUCGUUUGUACCGUUUGACGCUCGGAAGAUUAACUACGAGCACGUAGCCUCAUCUGUCUAUCUCACAGCGUGUAAUCGCAUGUACGCGACUAAGUGCAUCGCAAGAGUAAUCAGCAGCGGCCGGGCCCGACGCGGCUUUGAUUAAUUGAAUCCGCCCUAAGAGACGAGCGCGAGCUUUAUACCUGCUGGCACGCACGCAUUGCCACCGUUCGUUCAUUCACGGACGUUUCACGGCCGGCCUCGCGGUUAAUUAUACAUCAUAGCCUGGCAAUCGUUUCUUACGAUUAUAUUUCGGUCCAAUCACGCUCUCGAUUCAACCUUUUCUUUUCACCGUUUAACCGAUUGCUAUCGAAUUUUUCGAAAGGAUAAUUGUCGGUUAUCGAUCAUUCGAGAACCUCGAUACGGUAUUAAUAUUAAUAUUAAUAUUAAAAUCGCAACGCGGUUGAAAAUUUAGAAAUACGAAAAUCGGUCGGUAUUUGAGAAAAUUUUAAUUUACCAUUUCUUAAGAUGGAUCUCGAAAAGUAAAUAUAAAUUAUAAGCGAGGAUUAAAAAUAAUUGAAAUUACUUGCCCACAAAGAACGAUCCUGAAAUAUCAGGCGGAAGCGGCGUCCAUCCUUUGGUAUUUAUUUACCCGCGCGUUACUUCUCGCGUUAAAUGUAGCAUUUGUGCUCUGUUCGUUCCGUGCCUACCACGGGUGCUUUUGCAUCCACACCUACGCGUAAAAUAUACACGUAUAUUUUUCGAUGUCCUCAUCAAUUAAGGCAAUAUUUUGAUCGGGCAGGAAGCCGCGGCGAAAUCCUACGCGGGAUUAAUUAAUAGUAGGCCGUUAAUAAUUUACGCAUCGCACACGUAAACGCGCGCGCGCGCGCACGAUUGUCGAUAAAUUCGAAAGCGCGCACGAGGUACAAUUACACGCUCAAGCGGAACCACUUUAAAUCGUCAGAGCGCGCGACGAUCGUCGAUACGCGAGGAACAUAGAGGAUGCGGAGACGCGUCGUACAUACUGAAAAGUCGAAACGUGAUUAACGUAGGCCUGGCACACGCUCGAUUCCUCGGCGUGCAUGGCCGAUCAGGAAAUCACGAUCGGGAAUACCUGAUGGUGUGUGAAGUGGUUUUCGCCCGUAGCGCCGACGAGAUUAUCGAACGAGAUAUGGAACGAUCGGUGUAGACAGCGAUCUGGUUUGUCAACAAAGUUUGUCCGAACGGAGAUAAGCGGUCCGAGCGAAGGACGACUCCCCUUGCCCCUCUGCCGUCCAGCUGGACUUUUUGCCAGAAGUAAACACAACACCUCCUUCGCCAACGAUAUAUCCCAACGAAACGAAACGAAAUUCAGCCUGAACGAUACGCGAGGAGGAAAAACUCGGCUGGAAAUUACCGGCGAGUCGAAAGAUCGGGAAAGGAGAAAGGAGAAAGGAGAGGAAGAGGGAAAGAGGCGGAGAUCCCGACCCAAAUCCGAGAGACGAGAAAACUUGGCUCGUCGAUCAGUCGGCGGAAGGAAGGAAGGAAGUUCCGAUCCACAAAAUUUUCAAACUCCACGUUUCUCGAAAAAACUCUGUCCCACGAACAACCUCGCAUUCCCAAGAUGUGGAGAAUCUCGUCGUAAAGAAUCCAAGCCUUGAUACGUCUCGAACAACGCCUCCUCUAAAUCAUUUUCCCAACAAGUCCGGGCAAGGAAAUAUUCGUUCCUUCCACGAAAAGGGGAGGAGGAGGAGGAGGAGAAGGGAAGCACCCUCCCGCCCGAGCGUCGUUUCGGCGUCGCGCUGUAUCUCGAUCCGGCCAUCAGCAUUUUCCAACUUGUCUCACGAAUUCCCUACCGCGUGCUCCCUGACGUAAGUAACAACAUAUAUAAAAGUAAGUGACUCGACUCUCUCGCGAGGCGGUGGUGAUGCAGGGCCCCGGCUAUCUGCGGAGUCUAUCGGGCAGUAAACAGCGAGCGGCAGAUAAGGCGGGAGAUAUAUUAUAGACUGGCCUUUGGUACACGAGACGUGGAACUGCUAGCGGUGGUGCUAGAAGUGAACCAGAAGGGAUAGCCAACACUUUUGCUUCUAGGAUACGUGCCGCUAGCCAGUCUAGGGCCUCUCUCUCUUGUCCUGUUCUAUAUAUAUAUAUAUAUAUAUAUGUACGUAUUUUUUCUUGCUUCUUUUCCACCGAUUCCUCCUUUUCUUUUCUUUUUUUCUUUCUCUCGUUCGAGCUGGUAUAAAAACGCCAACCGGCGUCUGAAUAGUCGCACGGAGGACGGAAGUCAGUUUGCAAGCCAAGCAUGGGGCGGUGGCGCCGAGCUACCCCUUAUUUUCCUCACUUCGAACUAGCAUCUACCAUUUUCUUUUUUUCUCUCUCUUUAUUCUUGUUUCGAUGUAGCUAUAUAACGAUGUUCUUUUUUCCUGUUCUCUCGCAUUCCUCUCUUCAAUUACGUAUUCGUUUUUUUCAUUCUCCUUAUCAAGUAAUUCUUUCUUAUUUCGUAUUUUUUGUUCCUUCUAUCUUUUUAUUACUUCUCCUUUCGUACUUUUCUUUCGCUCCUCCACAAUUUCUUUCUCUCUCUCUCGAUGCUGGGAUCGUAUAUAUCUUUUUUCUCCUUUCUCCUUCGUAUUACAUUAAGGGUCUUUCUUCUCUCUCUCUCUCCUCGAACUCUCGAUGCCUAGAAUGCUCGAACGCCACGAUGCAUCACCGUUGCCGAUACACCUUUUCUCCCUCCUCCUCUCGCUCAUACUCGGUUCGACGCUUCCCUCUCUGUCUCGCUCUCGGUGGACCUCGAUAUCGUUUCGUCUCCCUCCCCUCCACCCCCUAUCUUUCUUCGCCGGAGAGACGAACGCGUUGUAUUCGCGCCGCGUUUUCGUCCCUCCACCAGGAAAAUUUCUUCUGGUUUCGAUUUUUGGCAAGCUGCCCUACCCUCGAGCGUUGCAAUUUUCGCCGUGUUUUUUUUUACGAGUUUCUUUUUCCGUACGAUAGGAAUAUCCGCCCGUGCGAAAGUAACGUGUAACCAAGAAAAUUCUAUUUAUUACGUAAAAGUAGAAUUGGCAAAAUAAAUUGUUCGUCUCGAUACUUUCUUUUUUUAUCGUGAUGCUAUAGUAAUGUGACAAUCCUCGUUACGUUUUUUUUUACGAUUAUAACUCGAAAAAUAAAAUAUAUCCCGCCAAUCAUCUCGGGACGAUGAUUCACGAUAAUAAAAGACGUCAGAUGAGGCGUUUUCUCGCUCGACUCGACACACAGGGGAGCAGGUUGAAAAAUAAGCGGAAUUUUGCUCGCCCCUACUCGCGGCGGCGGGGAGGAUCCGCGGCGGAUUGCGAAACAAAAGGCGCGAUAAUUGUAGUCGGCCCCAGGGGGAGGGGAGUCGAGGGUUAUAGGACGCGGGCGUAAUAAACUCGGAAGAAGCAGCGGCACGUUAAUUCGUAAUCGCUUUUGCGGUCGGCUGAUGGUCGCGCCUCCGUCGGGUUUGCUUCCCGACCAAACAACGUUGCGGAAAAGGAGAGAAGAGGAGGGGAGGGGAGAGGAGAGGCGAUCAAGGGGGAACGCGUGCAGAUCGGAUACCGAGGGUGGUAUAUCUGACAACGGUGUAAUAACUCGCCGGCUGACGAGGGAAUAAAGGCCAACCCUUUCGCCUUUCGGGGUGGGGCCGUGACGAAAUUCGAUUCCGACGGCGGCGUAGCCUCCUCUCUCUCUCUCUUGAGCGGCCAUCUUUUCGUCACUCGCUUCUUCUUUCGUAUGUCGAUAAUAAAGCGUGUCACAAAAUUAACGCAAGAUUCGAAUUUUUUAAAAUUAUUUUUAAAAUAUUGUU
Molecule: long non-coding RNA, 5995 nt
Organism: Apis mellifera (honey bee)
Lineage: Eukaryota; Metazoa; Arthropoda; Insecta; Hymenoptera; Apidae
Exons: 6
Source: RefSeq, a predicted model, not a curated record